This is a long non-coding RNA of Oryzias melastigma (Indian medaka), 469 nucleotides long. RefSeq lists it as uncharacterized. NCBI's taxonomy places the organism in Eukaryota, Metazoa, Chordata, Actinopteri, Beloniformes, Adrianichthyidae. The transcript is spliced from 2 exons. The record is from RefSeq and is a predicted model, not a curated record.
UCAUUGUUUGUUCACCAGGUUUGCUAACAAUUUUGAUUUUUGUGGGUGAAUAAACGUCCAAAACUGAAGCAAUUCAAACAUGAAACUCAUAAGUACAGACUUUAAAUCUUUUUUUCGAUGUCAGGACAGAAUGUUCUCGUUCUUGGUUGAUGAACCACGGACUCACGGCGAGCUCCUGUUUCCUCUUCACCAGCUCCGCCAGCUCCCGACGAGUGUCCGGGAUUUGCGGCGGGGUCGCCUUCGCGUGCAUCGACAUGAUGGAUCUGUCCGGAACCAACGGGAGGAGGCGCGCGCGCUCAGAAAAGAGGGACGUGUUGGUGGUUACAACGGAGAUGUGACCGCAAGGUGGCGCAAUGGUCACGGAGUGACCCUUUCCCCACCUCGUUUCAUUGUAUUUGAGCUUUAAUGAACAAGCUAAUUCAAAGCAAUUUCGCUAACUUGAGUGUAAUACAGUUUGUUUUUGCAAGUC